This 450-nucleotide ribosomal RNA is filed under the name uncultured bacterium. RNAcentral describes it as "bacterial SSU rRNA". It matches the Rfam family "Bacterial small subunit ribosomal RNA", at positions 329 to 795 of the family's 1533-position model. The record is from RNAcentral.
ACCCAGACUCCUACGGGAGGCAGCAGUGGGGGAUAUUGCACAAUGGGGGAAACCCUGAUGCAGCGACGCCGCGUGUGGGAAGACGGUCUUCUGGAUUGUAAACCACUGUCCCCAGGGACGAAAAUGACGGUACCUGGGGAGGAAGCUCCGACUAACUACGUGCCAGCAGCCGCGGUAAUACGUAGGGGGCAAGCGUUAUCCGGAUUUACUGGGUGUAAAGGGAGCGUAGACGGCCAUGCAAGUCUGAUGUGAAAACCCGGGGCUCAACCCCGGGACUGCAUUGGAAACUGUGCGGCUGGAGUGUCGGAGAGGCAAGUGGAAUUCCUAGUGUAGCGGUGAAAUGCGUAGAUAUUAGGAGGAACACCAGUGGCGAAGGCGGCUUGCUGGACGACGACUGACGUUGAGGCUCGAAAGCGUGGGGAGCAAACAGGAUUAGAUACCCUUGUAACC